ACUUUCUUAGUAUUAAAAGUAUACGUGACUUCCAAUCACUAGGCCUCAGUUAAACCCUGAGAGAGAGUA
This 69-nucleotide transfer RNA is filed under the name Hymenochirus boettgeri (Congo dwarf clawed frog). Its description in RNAcentral is "tRNA-Gly". It matches the Rfam family "tRNA". From Rfam's summary of the family: Transfer RNA (tRNA) molecules are approximately 80 nucleotides in length. Lineage: Eukaryota; Metazoa; Chordata; Amphibia; Anura; Pipidae. The record is from RNAcentral.